Ananas comosus (pineapple) is the source of this 1256-nucleotide RNA transcript. RefSeq lists it as uncharacterized. The transcript is spliced from 2 exons. Lineage: Eukaryota; Viridiplantae; Streptophyta; Magnoliopsida; Poales; Bromeliaceae. The record is from RefSeq and is a predicted model, not a curated record.
ACCGAUGUUCAUCUUCAAUUAUUGCCUGCAUAGCUGAUAACUAUUAAGUUCCGGUAUUAGUUAUAUGGCAAUAUGGCUCUAGGUUGAAGAUGAUUAACUAAAUACUCAUUGUUAGGAGUUCUCUGUACACCAAAUGAUCAAACUCUUAUUGAAUUCCUUAUAAGAACAGCAAAAUAUCGAUGCACAUGAACACUCUUCAUCUAUUAGAAGAAUAUACACAAUAACCAAUUGCAGAGAACUAAUACAGAGGACUUGAGCAUUAAAAGAAAUAAAAUCAGGUGCUAGCAUAGAAUGAUGUUAUAGAAUGAUGCCAUGGAAGUAAAAGUUUUGUCCAAUAUUUUUUUCGCAAUGAGUUGGGUCAUUAAAAACAAAAAACUGAAAAAAUCUCUAAUUAUAUAGGUGCUACUUCCUAAUUAACGCCCUAGAGUUAAACUUUGAUAGAUACAUUGACUGAGGGGAUAAGUUUUGUUACCCGUGUGAGCUGUUUGAUGUUGAUAUCAAGUGUUUUCUUUAUGCAAUUUUUAGUUGGGAAGUUUACUGGUUUUUAACAACAUGAAUUGACAUGGAAAUGGAGUAAGUUUGGUGUUCUUUAUCUAUGUGAAGAAGCAAAAGUGAGGGACCGCACAUAAAGGAUCUUUGUUGUGACUUAUAAGCAUUAUUAGAACACAGAAGAUCAUUUGUCGGAGUUUUGGCUUUUAGUUAAUCAUAUCCCAGACUCCCAAUUCAUUGAUUAAAUAUUGUGGAUGAUAGAGAUGGUCUAUGAAUUCUGUAGUGGGUUUGCGACUUAUCUAAGUUCCAUUGGUGCACGUUGGAUUGUUGAUGACCGAGGAUUUAGGAGGUAGUUCUGUGAUCAUAUGUUCGAUUUCGAAGUUUAGGGCCUCUUUGAUGCCAAAACAAGUUAUAUAGUAAUAACUUGUGUUGGAUGGUUUUCUUUCUUUCUCUUUCUCUCUUUAUUUUUUUCUUUUUCUUUUUUGUUUUUAACAUUAGAGUUUUAUUUUAGUACUUUGCGAGUUUCUAAUUAUCAUGGUUUCUGAGGGUGCUUUAUUCCUUCAUAGUCACUUUAAGAUUGUAACAUAAAGGGGAGGAGAUAUGCCGAGCAAGUUAUUCUAGCAUGCGAGGGGCUCACACGAGAACUUGAUGUUUCCUGAUCCACUGUUAUGGAAUUUCUUUUAAAAGAGCAAUGUUGUUUCAUGUAUUAUAUAUGCACUGUUGUUUUCUGAUUCACUUUAAUUCAGUUCCAACUUAAUUGUUUUUUA